This 265-nucleotide ribosomal RNA is filed under the name uncultured bacterium. RNAcentral describes it as "partial 16S ribosomal RNA". It matches the Rfam family "Bacterial small subunit ribosomal RNA", at positions 337 to 621 of the family's 1533-position model. The record is from RNAcentral.
ACCUACGGGGCGCAGCAGUGGGGAAUAUUGCACAAUGGGGGGAACCCUGAUGCAGCGACGCCGCGUGAAGGAAGAAGUAUUUCGGUAUGUAAACUUCUAUCAGCAGGGAAGAAAGACGGUACCCGACCAAGAAGCCCCGGCUAACUACGUGCCAGCAGCCGCGGUAAUACGUAGGGGGCGAGCGUUAUCCGGAAUUACUGGGUGUAAAAGGAGCGUAGACGGCGAGGUAAGCCUGAAGUGGAAGCCCGCGGCCCAACCGCGGAAC